GGCUUCAUAGCUCAGUGGUUAGAGCACUGGUCUUAUAAACCAGGAGUAGUGAGCUUAAUCCUCACUGGAGCCU
Molecule: transfer RNA, 73 nt
Filed under: Ameiurus melas (black bullhead)
Lineage: Eukaryota; Metazoa; Chordata; Actinopteri; Siluriformes; Ictaluridae
Rfam family: tRNA
About the family: Transfer RNA (tRNA) molecules are approximately 80 nucleotides in length. Their secondary structure includes four short double-helical elements and three loops (D, anti-codon, and T loops).
Source: Rfam by way of RNAcentral